AUGACAAGGAACCUCGUGGAAACAUACAACUUUGUCCUCAGAGGAAACCGGGCAUUGCCACUUACAGCCAUCGUUGAGGGUAUUUUCUAUGGCACCGUCAAGUAUUUCAGAGAUAGACGUCAAAAAGCAGAGCAACAUAUCUUCAACAACCCGAAUACACGGUACUAUGAAAGAGUCACGAAGUACAUGGACAACAAUAUGCAAAAAGCUAGGUCACACACUAUAGCUGCCAUCAGUAAUCAAGAAAGAAGGUUUGAGGUCCGCUUAGCCAACAACAAAUUCGGAUGUGCAAAUGAGUUGAGGACGCAUGAGGUGAAAAUUGGUAAUGAAGCCUGGCCAACGUGUGAGUGCACAUGCAACAAACCGAAAUUGCUUCACCUACCUUGA
RNAcentral lists this ribosomal RNA (387 nucleotides) under Triticum aestivum (bread wheat). RNAcentral's name for it is "partial small subunit ribosomal RNA". Lineage: Eukaryota; Viridiplantae; Streptophyta; Magnoliopsida; Poales; Poaceae. The record is from RNAcentral.